Molecule: long non-coding RNA, 545 nt
Organism: Pezoporus flaviventris
Lineage: Eukaryota; Metazoa; Chordata; Aves; Psittaciformes; Psittacidae
Exons: 3
Source: RefSeq, a predicted model, not a curated record
GAGCAGAAUUUGCGCAAGCACCAGUUUGCCUCAUGCUACAGUAACAGCAGAAAUCAGCAGAGAGAUACAGGCAGGUGGGGGAACAUUAGUGCUCUCCGGGCUAUGGUCCUGUGGGCAGCAGGUUCAGGUAAUGAGAAAUUUUUCACCUUCCAAAAAAUCCUGCUUUUGUUGCUGCUUCAUUUCACUGAUUUAUCAGGUUGAUGAUGUAACUUCCUGAUUUCAUGUGGAAGGAUUGCUCUCUCAGCCCCUCUGCACUGCUAAAGAAGCUGCACACAAAUGUAAAAACAGAGAUGGAUUUUUAUUAAAAAAAAAAAAGGGGGGGAGAAAAAGAAAUUGUCUUCUAAAAGAAGUUUCACUGAAGCAACAUGAGAGGCAUCUUAUGGCAGUGAAGUGGAAUCUGAAGAUGGAGUGCAGGGCCACAGAAACAGGCAAGCCAGCUCCAUUUUAAUGCAGAGGCAGCAGACAGAGUGCGAUCUGAGAUUGGCAAAGUUUCAAUGUAAAUCCAGGGGGGCAAGGGGGAUGGGGCUGGGAUGAGAAGAAAGGAC